GACGAACGCUGGCGGCGUGCCUAAUACAUGCAAGUUGAGCGAUGAAGCUUGGUGCUUGCCCCAAUUUGAAGAGCAGCGAACGGGUGAGUAACGCGUGGGGAAUCUGCCUUUGAGCGGGGGACAACAUUUGGAAACGAAUGCUAAUACCGCAUAACAACUUUAAACAUAAGUUUCAAGUUUGAAAGAUGCAAUUGCAUCACUCAAAGAUGAUCCCGCGUUGUAUUAGCUAGUUGGUGAGGUAAAGGCUCACCAAGGCGAUGAUACAUAGCCGACCUGAGAGGGUGGUCGGCCACAUUGGGACUGAGACACGGCCCAAACUCCUACGGGAGGCAGCAGGAGGGAAUCUUCGGCAAUGGACGAAAGUCUGACCGAGCAACGCCGCGGGAGUGAAGAAGGUUUUCGGAUCGUAAAACUCUGUUGGUAGAGAAGAACGUUGGUGAGAGUGGAAAGCUCAUCAAGUGACGGUAACUACCCAGAAAGGGACGGCUAACUACGUG
Molecule: ribosomal RNA, 497 nt
Filed under: uncultured bacterium
Lineage: Bacteria
Description: partial 16S ribosomal RNA
Rfam family: Bacterial small subunit ribosomal RNA
Source: RNAcentral